This 497-nucleotide ribosomal RNA is filed under the name uncultured bacterium. RNAcentral's name for it is "partial 16S ribosomal RNA". It matches the Rfam family "Bacterial small subunit ribosomal RNA", at positions 28 to 507 of the family's 1533-position model. The record is from RNAcentral.
GACGAACGCUGGCGGCGUGCCUAAUACAUGCAAGUAGAACGCUGAAGAGAGGAGCUUGCUCUUCUUGGAUGAGUUGCGAACGGGUGAGUAACGCGUAGGUAACCUGCCUUGUAGCGGGGGAUAACUAUUGGAAACGAUAGCUAAUACCGCAUAACAAUGGAUGACACAUGUCAUUUAUUUGAAAGGGGCAAUUGCUCCACUACAAGAUGGACCUGCGUUGUAUUAGCUAGUAGGUGAGGUAAUGGCUCACCUAGGCGACGAUACAUAGCCGACCUGAGAGGGUGAUCGGCCACACUGGGACUGAGACACGGCCCAGACUCCUACGGGAGGCAGCAGUAGGGAAUCGUCGGCAAUGGGGGCAACCCUGACCGAGAAACGCCGCGUGAGUGAAGAAGGUUUUCGGAUCGUAAAGCUCUGUUGUAAGCCAAGAACGGGUGUGAGAGUGGAAAGUUCACACUGUGACGGUAGCUUACCAGAAAGGGACGGCUAACUACGUG